Molecule: ribosomal RNA, 468 nt
Filed under: uncultured bacterium
Lineage: Bacteria
Description: partial 16S ribosomal RNA
Rfam family: Bacterial small subunit ribosomal RNA
Source: RNAcentral
GACGAACGCUGGCGGCGUGCUUAACACAUGCAAGUCGAACGGAAAGGCCCUGCUUGUGUGGGGUGCUCGAGUGGCGAACGGGUGAGUAACACGUGAGUAACCUGCCCUGGACUUUGGGAUAACGUCAGGAAACUGGGGCUAAUACCGGAUAGGAGCGCCUGCUGCAUGGUGGGGGUUGGAAAGUUUCGGCGGUUGGGGAUGGACUCGCGGCUUAUCAGCUUGUUGGUGGGGUAGUGGCUUACCAAGGCUUUGACGGGUAGCCGGCCUGAGAGGGUGACCGGCCACAUUGGGACUGAGAUACGGCCCAGACUCCUACGGGAGGCAGCAGUGGGGAAUAUUGCACAAUGGGCGGAAGCCUGAUGCAGCAACGCCGCGUGCGGGAUGCCGGCCUUCGGGUUGUAAACCGCUUUCGCCUGUGACGAAGCGUGAGUGACGGUAAUGGGUAAAGAAGCACCGGCUAACUACGUG